Molecule: ribosomal RNA, 2899 nt
Filed under: Escherichia coli
Lineage: Bacteria; Pseudomonadati; Pseudomonadota; Gammaproteobacteria; Enterobacterales; Enterobacteriaceae
Description: bacterial LSU rRNA
Rfam family: Bacterial large subunit ribosomal RNA
Source: RNAcentral
UAAGCGACUAAGCGUACACGGUGGAUGCCCUGGCAGUCAGAGGCGAUGAAGGACGUGCUAAUCUGCGAUAAGCGUCGGUAAGGUGAUAUGAACCGUUAUAACCGGCGAUUUCCGAAUGGGGAAACCCAGUGUGAUUCGUCACACUAUCAUUAACUGAAUCCAUAGGUUAAUGAGGCGAACCGGGGGAACUGAAACAUCUAAGUACCCCGAGGAAAAGAAAUCAACCGAGAUUCCCCCAGUAGCGGCGAGCGAACGGGGAGCAGCCCAGAGCCUGAAUCAGUGUGUGUGUUAGUGGAAGCGUCUGGAAAGGCGCGCGAUACAGGGUGACAGCCCCGUACACAAAAAUGCACAUGCUGUGAGCUCGAUGAGUAGGGCGGGACACGUGGUAUCCUGUCUGAAUAUGGGGGGACCAUCCUCCAAGGCUAAAUACUCCUGACUGACCGAUAGUGAACCAGUACCGUGAGGGAAAGGCGAAAAGAACCCCGGCGAGGGGAGUGAAAAAGAACCUGAAACCGUGUACGUACAAGCAGUGGGAGCACGCUUAGGCGUGUGACUGCGUACCUUUUGUAUAAUGGGUCAGCGACUUAUAUUCUGUAGCAAGGUUAACCGAAUAGGGGAGCCGAAGGGAAACCGAGUCUUAACUGGGCGUUAAGUUGCAGGGUAUAGACCCGAAACCCGGUGAUCUAGCCAUGGGCAGGUUGAAGGUUGGGUAACACUAACUGGAGGACCGAACCGACUAAUGUUGAAAAAUUAGCGGAUGACUUGUGGCUGGGGGUGAAAGGCCAAUCAAACCGGGAGAUAGCUGGUUCUCCCCGAAAGCUAUUUAGGUAGCGCCUCGUGAAUUCAUCUCCGGGGGUAGAGCACUGUUUCGGCAAGGGGGUCAUCCCGACUUACCAACCCGAUGCAAACUGCGAAUACCGGAGAAUGUUAUCACGGGAGACACACGGCGGGUGCUAACGUCCGUCGUGAAGAGGGAAACAACCCAGACCGCCAGCUAAGGUCCCAAAGUCAUGGUUAAGUGGGAAACGAUGUGGGAAGGCCCAGACAGCCAGGAUGUUGGCUUAGAAGCAGCCAUCAUUUAAAGAAAGCGUAAUAGCUCACUGGUCGAGUCGGCCUGCGCGGAAGAUGUAACGGGGCUAAACCAUGCACCGAAGCUGCGGCAGCGACGCUGAUGCGUUGUUGGGUAGGGGAGCGUUCUGUAAGCCUGCGAAGGUGUGCUGUGAGGCAUGCUGGAGGUAUCAGAAGUGCGAAUGCUGACAUAAGUAACGAUAAAGCGGGUGAAAAGCCCGCUCGCCGGAAGACCAAGGGUUCCUGUCCAACGUUAAUCGGGGCAGGGUGAGUCGACCCCUAAGGCGAGGCCGAAAGGCGUAGUCGAUGGGAAACAGGUUAAUAUUCCUGUACUUGGUGUUACUGCGAAGGGGGACGGAGAAGGCUAUGUUGGCCGGGCGACGGUUGUCCCGGUUUAAGCGUGUAGGCUGGUUUUCCAGGCAAAUCCGGAAAAUCAAGGCUGAGGCGUGAUGACGAGGCACUACGGUGCUGAAGCAACAAAUGCCCUGCUUCCAGGAAAAGCCUCUAAGCAUCAGGUAACAUCAAAUCGUACCCCAAACCGACACAGGUGGUCAGGUAGAGAAUACCAAGGCGCUUGAGAGAACUCGGGUGAAGGAACUAGGCAAAAUGGUGCCGUAACUUCGGGAGAAGGCACGCUGAUAUGUAGGUGAAGUCCCUCGCGGAUGGAGCUGAAAUCAGUCGAAGAUACCAGCUGGCUGCAACUGUUUAUUAAAAACACAGCACUGUGCAAACACGAAAGUGGACGUAUACGGUGUGACGCCUGCCCGGUGCCGGAAGGUUAAUUGAUGGGGUCAGCGCAAGCGAAGCUCUUGAUCGAAGCCCCGGUAAACGGCGGCCGUAACUAUAACGGUCCUAAGGUAGCGAAAUUCCUUGUCGGGUAAGUUCCGACCUGCACGAAUGGCGUAAUGAUGGCCAGGCUGUCUCCACCCGAGACUCAGUGAAAUUGAACUCGCUGUGAAGAUGCAGUGUACCCGCGGCAAGACGGAAAGACCCCGUGAACCUUUACUAUAGCUUGACACUGAACAUUGAGCCUUGAUGUGUAGGAUAGGUGGGAGGCUUUGAAGUGUGGACGCCAGUCUGCAUGGAGCCGACCUUGAAAUACCACCCUUUAAUGUUUGAUGUUCUAACGUUGACCCGUAAUCCGGGUUGCGGACAGUGUCUGGUGGGUAGUUUGACUGGGGCGGUCUCCUCCUAAAGAGUAACGGAGGAGCACGAAGGUUGGCUAAUCCUGGUCGGACAUCAGGAGGUUAGUGCAAUGGCAUAAGCCAGCUUGACUGCGAGCGUGACGGCGCGAGCAGGUGCGAAAGCAGGUCAUAGUGAUCCGGUGGUUCUGAAUGGAAGGGCCAUCGCUCAACGGAUAAAAGGUACUCCGGGGAUAACAGGCUGAUACCGCCCAAGAGUUCAUAUCGACGGCGGUGUUUGGCACCUCGAUGUCGGCUCAUCACAUCCUGGGGCUGAAGUAGGUCCCAAGGGUAUGGCUGUUCGCCAUUUAAAGUGGUACGCGAGCUGGGUUUAGAACGUCGUGAGACAGUUCGGUCCCUAUCUGCCGUGGGCGCUGGAGAACUGAGGGGGGCUGCUCCUAGUACGAGAGGACCGGAGUGGACGCAUCACUGGUGUUCGGGUUGUCAUGCCAAUGGCACUGCCCGGUAGCUAAAUGCGGAAGAGAUAAGUGCUGAAAGCAUCUAAGCACGAAACUUGCCCCGAGAUGAGUUCUCCCUGACUCCUUGAGAGUCCUGAAGGAACGUUGAAGACGACGACGUUGAUAGGCCGGGUGUGUAAGCGCAGCGAUGCGUUGAGCUAACCGGUACUAAUGAACCGUGAGGCUUAACCU